Molecule: transfer RNA, 68 nt
Filed under: Typhlomys cinereus (Soft-furred tree mouse)
Lineage: Eukaryota; Metazoa; Chordata; Mammalia; Rodentia; Platacanthomyidae
Description: tRNA-Trp
Source: RNAcentral
AGAAGUUUAGGAUAUUAUAGUCCAAGAGCCUUCAAAGCCCUAAGUAAGUGAUAACAACUUAACUUCUG